RNAcentral lists this ribosomal RNA (253 nucleotides) under uncultured bacterium. RNAcentral describes it as "partial 16S ribosomal RNA". It matches the Rfam family "Bacterial small subunit ribosomal RNA", at positions 524 to 776 of the family's 1533-position model. The record is from RNAcentral.
UACGUAGGUGACCAGCGUUGUCCGGAUUUACUGGGCGUAAAGAGCGCGCAGGCGGUCGUUCAAGUCGAGUGUGAAAGCCCCCGGCUCAACUGGGGAGGGUCAUUCGAUACUGAUCGACUUGAAGGCAGGAGAGGGAAGCGGAAUUCCCGGUGUAGUGGUGAAAUGCGUAGAUAUCAGGAGGAACACCAGUGGCGAAGGCGAGUCUCUGGGAUGAUGCUGACGCUGAGGCGCGAAAGCCAGGGGAGCAAACGGG